RNAcentral lists this ribosomal RNA (573 nucleotides) under uncultured Acinetobacter sp. Its description in RNAcentral is "bacterial SSU rRNA". It matches the Rfam family "Bacterial small subunit ribosomal RNA", at positions 128 to 695 of the family's 1533-position model. The record is from RNAcentral. Lineage: Bacteria; Pseudomonadati; Pseudomonadota; Gammaproteobacteria; Moraxellales; Moraxellaceae.
GCCUAUUAGUGGGGGACAACAUCUCGAAAGGGAUGCUAAUACCGCAUACGUCCUACGGGAGAAAGCAGGGGAUCUUCGGACCUUGCGCUAAUAGAUGAGCCUAAGUCGGAUUAGCUAGUUGGUGGGGUAAAGGCCUACCAAGGCGACGAUCUGUAGCGGGUCUGAGAGGAUGAUCCGCCACACUGGGACUGAGACACGGCCCAGACUCCUACGGGUGGCAGCAGUGGGGAAUNUUGGACAAUGGGCGCAAGCCUGAUCCAGCCNUGCCGCGUGUGUGAAGAAGGCCUUAUGGUUGUAAAGCACUUUAAGCGAGGAGGAGGCUACUCUAGUUAAUACCUAGAGAUAGUGGACGUUACUCGCAGAAUAAGCACCGGCUAACUCUGUGCCAGCAGCCGCGGUAAUACAGAGGGUGCAAGCGUUAAUCGGAUUUACUGGGCGUAAAGCGCGCGUAGGCGGCUAAUUAAGUCAAAUGUGAAAUCCCCGAGCUUAACUUGGGAAUUGCAUUCNAUACUGGUUAGCUAGAGUGUGGGAGAGGAUGGUAGAAUUCCAGGUGUAGCGGUGAAAUGCGUAGAG